Molecule: ribosomal RNA, 469 nt
Filed under: uncultured bacterium
Lineage: Bacteria
Description: bacterial SSU rRNA
Rfam family: Bacterial small subunit ribosomal RNA
Source: RNAcentral
GAUGAACGCUGGCGGCGUGCUUAACACAUGCAAGUCGAACGAAGAUGCCGGAGUGCUUGCACUUUGGCAGACUGAGUGGCGGACGGGUGAGUAACGCGUGGGCAACCUGCCCUGUACUGGGGGACAACAGUUGGAAACGACUGCUAAUACCGCAUAAGCGCACGGGAUCGCAUGAUCCUGUGUGAAAAACUCCGGUGGUACAGGAUGGACCCGCGUCUGAUUAGCUGGUUGGUGAGGUAACGGCCCACCAAGGCAACGAUCAGUAGCCGGCCUGAGAGGGUGAACGGCCACAUUGGGACUGAGACACGGCCCAAACUCCUACGGGAGGCAGCAGUGGGGAAUAUUGCACAAUGGGGGAAACCCUGAUGCAGCGACGCCGCGUGAGUGAAGAAGUAUUUCGGUAUGUAAAGCUCUAUCAGCAGGGAAGAAAAUGACGGUACCUGACUAAGAAGCCCCGGCUAACUACGUG